AUUUAUUUAGUACAAUUCAGUACUAUUGAUUUCCAAUCAAAAAGUCUAAAUAAUUUAGAAUAAAUA
RNAcentral lists this transfer RNA (66 nucleotides) under Creobroter elongata. Its description in RNAcentral is "tRNA-Gly". Lineage: Eukaryota; Metazoa; Arthropoda; Insecta; Mantodea; Hymenopodidae. The record is from RNAcentral.